GUGGGGAAUAUUGGACAAUGGGCGAAAGCCUGAUCCAGCAAUGCCGCGUGUGUGAAGAAGGCCUGCGGGUUGUAAAGCACUUUCAGUUGGGAAGAAAAGCGGAGGGCUAAUACCUUUCUGUCUUGACGUUACCAACAGAAGAAGCACCGGCUAACUCCGUGCCAGCAGCCGCGGUAAUACGGAGGGUGCGAGCGUUAAUCGGAAUUACUGGGCGUAAAGCGUGCGUAGGCGGUACGUUAAGUCGGUUGUGAAACCCCUGGGCUCAACCUGGGAACUGCAUCCGAUACUGGCGCACUGGAGUAUGGUAGAGGGGAGUGGAAUUCCGGGUGUAGCGGUGAAAUGCGUAGAUAUCCGGAGGAACACCAGUGGCGAAGGCGACUCCCUGGACCAAUACUGACGCUGAGGCACGAAAGCGUGGGUAGCAAACAGGAUUAGAUACCCUGGUAGUCC
RNAcentral lists this ribosomal RNA (450 nucleotides) under uncultured bacterium. RNAcentral describes it as "bacterial SSU rRNA". It matches the Rfam family "Bacterial small subunit ribosomal RNA", at positions 354 to 796 of the family's 1533-position model. The record is from RNAcentral.